GAUGAACGCUGGCGGCGUGCCUAAUACAUGCAAGUCGAGCGAACAGGCGAGGAGCUUGCUCCUCUGACGUUAGCGGCGGACGGGUGAGUAACACGUGGAUAACCUACCUAUAAGACUGGGAUAACUUCGGGAAACCGGAGCUAAUACCGGAUAAUAUAUUGAACCGCAUGGUUCAAUAGUGAAAGACGGUUUUGCUGUCACUUAUAGAUGGAUCCGCGCCGCAUUAGCUAGUUGGUAAGGUAACGGCUUACCAAGGCGACGAUGCGUAGCCGACCUGAGAGGGUGAUCGGCCACACUGGAACUGAGACACGGUCCAGACUCCUACGGGAGGCAGUAGUAGGGAAUCUUCCGCAAUGGGCGAAAGCCUGACGGAGCAACGCCGCGUGAGUGAUGAAGGUCUCCGGAUCGUAAAACUCUGUUAUUAGGGAAGAACAAAUGUGUAAGUAACUAUGCACGUCUUGACGGUACCUAAUCAGAAAGCCACGGCUAACUACGUG
RNAcentral lists this ribosomal RNA (497 nucleotides) under uncultured bacterium. RNAcentral describes it as "partial 16S ribosomal RNA". It matches the Rfam family "Bacterial small subunit ribosomal RNA", at positions 28 to 507 of the family's 1533-position model. The record is from RNAcentral.